RNAcentral lists this ribosomal RNA (253 nucleotides) under uncultured bacterium. RNAcentral's name for it is "partial 16S ribosomal RNA". It matches the Rfam family "Bacterial small subunit ribosomal RNA", at positions 524 to 776 of the family's 1533-position model. The record is from RNAcentral.
UACGUAGGGGGCAAGCGUUAUCCGGAUUUACUGGGUGUAAAGGGAGCGUAGACGGUAAUGCAAGUCUGAAGUGAAAGCCCCGGGCUCAACCUGGGAAUUGCUUUGGAAACUGUGUAACUGGAGUGCUGGAGAGGUAAGCGGAAUUCCUAGUGUAGCGGUGAAAUGCGUAGAUAUUAGGAGGAACACCAGUGGCGAAGGCGGCUUACUGGACAGUAACUGACGUUGAGGCUCGAAAGCGUGGGGAGCAAACAGG